Molecule: ribosomal RNA, 497 nt
Filed under: uncultured bacterium
Lineage: Bacteria
Description: partial 16S ribosomal RNA
Rfam family: Bacterial small subunit ribosomal RNA
Source: RNAcentral
GAUGAACGCUGGCGGCGUGCCUAAUACAUGCAAGUCGAACGAACAGGCGCGGAUCUUGCUCCUCUCACGUUAGCGGCGGACGGGUGAGUAACGCGUGGAUACCCUACCUAUAAUACUGGGAAAACUUCGGGAAACCGGCUCUAAUACCGUAGAAUAUAUUGAACCGCGUGGUUGAAUGGUGAAAUACGGUUGUGGUGUCACUAAUCGAGGGAUCCGCGCCGUAUUAGCUGGUUGGUAGGUUAACAGCCUACCACGGCGACGAUGCGUGGACGACGUGAGAGGGUGAUAGCCCACAUGGGAACUGAGACGCGGUCAAGACUCCUAAGGGAGGCAGCAGUAGGGAAUCUUACGCAACGGGCGAAAGCAUGACGCAGCAACGCCGCGUGAGUGAUGACGGCCUUCGGAUCGUAAAAACCGGUUAUUAGGGAAGAACCAAUGUGUAAGUAACUAUGCACGUCUUGACGGUAAUUAAUAAGAAAGCCACGGCUAACUACGUG